Molecule: small nuclear RNA, 107 nt
Filed under: Zalophus californianus (California sea lion)
Lineage: Eukaryota; Metazoa; Chordata; Mammalia; Carnivora; Otariidae
Source: RNAcentral
GAUCACUUCGGCAGAACAUAUACUAAAAUUGGAGUGAUACGGGGAAGAUUAGCAUGGCCCCUGCGCAAGGAUGACAUGCAAUUACAGUUGGAAACUUCAACACCCCU